Molecule: ribosomal RNA, 126 nt
Rfam family: Bacterial large subunit ribosomal RNA
GGGUUAGUCGGUCCCUAAGGCGAGGCUGAAAAGCGUAGUCGUUGGAAAACAGGUUACUAUUCCUGUACUUCCGGUUAUUGACUUCGAGGUAUUGAGCAAUCAAUGCCUGCUUCGCAAUGGCUGUCC